GCGGAAUGCUUCAGGUAAGAAGCAAAAGAAAUUCGCAGUUCAAAGGUCAUCCUACGUCUUAAUGUUGAUGAAGCAGAACAGACAUUAGGCGACAGAAACCUCUUAGCAGCUAUACUAGAAGAUAAAGAAAGCUUAGGGAAGCUAUGUAAACAGUAAAACAAUUACUAGAUCUUAAAAGAGAAUUCAUUAUGUAUAUAAAGCAUUUUGCUCCCAUUCAUUUCAUUUGGAGGUGAUCAUUUUCAUUUAAGAAUCAUUGAGGCAUAAAUUACACCCAAACUGAUCAUUUUAACUUAGUAGAAUUUUGUGAAUAUACCUUUAUGUUGUCGAUGACACAGCUUUUUUAGUCGGUUUGCCUGUUAUCAUGUGUUUUAGCUCAGUGAAGUAAAUGAGGUUUUGUUUAAAGCGUGCUUGCAUGGAUGAUGUGUUGAUGCCUGUGGUUGCAUGCCAAAGAUAUUGUUUUUUGUUUUAGAAGGCCAUACAUGCAUGAAUAUGUUUUAUAGUGAAAAGAUUUGUAUGAAGUGUGAAAGAGGUACUAGUGCAAAUGAGUUUGCAAUUUUCAGUACUAUUUUUAUAUAGAUUUGCUACAAAAUUAAUUUACAAUUUUUAUAUACUAGAAAUAUAAUUUUCUUGAGAAUUACUGGAAGUAGCAAAUUAUAUUGUAAAUGGAUCAUACAAAGUGCAAAAUGUUGUGAUUCUAAGUCACAAACAAAAUCUCUUGUGUAACUUGUUAACGGAUUUGAAGAAAUCUUCAUUUCAAAGCUUUAGGCAGAAUAUAUAAAACUAAUUAUUUAGGGAUUAAUACAUAAUUUAUUAUAAUAUUUUCUGUAAUAUGGAAUGUUGUUUUAAGUAAGUAAUUUCUUUCAGAAGUGAAGUUUCACAUAAAGAAUCAUUUCCCUGUGUAAAGAUCUGUUUAGUUUGUAACCCAGCAUUUUUAGUGAAGUAAAGAAUGCGGGUAUUGUUUUAUAUGUUGACUUUAUGGCAAAAUAUGCCCAUAUUAUGUUUGAUAAUAAAGAUCAAUUUUA
Molecule: long non-coding RNA, 1022 nt
Organism: Penaeus monodon (black tiger shrimp)
Lineage: Eukaryota; Metazoa; Arthropoda; Malacostraca; Decapoda; Penaeidae
Exons: 2
Source: RefSeq, a predicted model, not a curated record